Molecule: transfer RNA, 56 nt
Filed under: Lysinibacillus sphaericus
Lineage: Bacteria; Bacillati; Bacillota; Bacilli; Caryophanales; Bacillaceae
Description: tRNA-Val
Rfam family: tRNA
About the family: Transfer RNA (tRNA) molecules are approximately 80 nucleotides in length. Their secondary structure includes four short double-helical elements and three loops (D, anti-codon, and T loops).
Source: RNAcentral
UAGCUCAGCUGGGAGAGCAUCUGCCUUACAAGCAGAGGGUCGGCGGUUCGAGCCCG